AUGAACCCAGAACCCAUCCACCCCUGCGAUUUUCUUCUCCCUCCACCCAUGCGAUUCUCUCUCUCUCUCUCUCUCUCUCUCUCUCUCUCUCUCAAUUUGAUUAUAAGGCUCAGACUUGCUUCGCACAAUGUUCCUUCACAGCCUUACGCUUUAAUUUCAACAUAAGUUAUAGAUUUCACAAAUCAAGCUCAAUCCACACACUCAACCCUAGAACCGCUGGAGAACCCGAUGCAGCAAUUCACCUGGCUAUACUUGAAAAUCCAAAUAUCAAGUGA
Molecule: long non-coding RNA, 275 nt
Filed under: Prunus dulcis (almond)
Lineage: Eukaryota; Viridiplantae; Streptophyta; Magnoliopsida; Rosales; Rosaceae
Description: sRNA ncRNA
Source: RNAcentral